This 214-nucleotide unclassified non-coding RNA is filed under the name soil metagenome. RNAcentral's name for it is "partial contains 5.8S ribosomal RNA, internal transcribed spacer 2, and large subunit ribosomal RNA". The record is from RNAcentral.
AACUGAUACUACCUGCGGGAACCUGCGGAGGGAUCAUUAGAGGGUUGCAAAACUCCCUAAACCUCGCGAACGUACCUCUGUCGUUGCUUCGGCGGGCAGCCCCCGGCGGGGCUCGCGGCCUGUGAAGGCGCCCGCCGGAGCCCCCUAGACUCUUGCGUUAGGCGGCCUCUCUGAGUUGUGGCGAAUAGGUUAAAACUUUCAGCAAUGGAUCUCU